Molecule: ribosomal RNA, 253 nt
Filed under: uncultured bacterium
Lineage: Bacteria
Description: partial 16S ribosomal RNA
Rfam family: Bacterial small subunit ribosomal RNA
Source: RNAcentral
UACGUAGGGUGCAAGCGUUGUCCGGAAUUAUUGGGCGUAAAGAGCUCGUAGGCGGUCUGUUGCGUCGGCUGUGAAAACCCGGGGCUCAACUCCGGGCCUGCAGCCGAUACGGGCAGACUAGAGUUCGGCAGGGGAGACUGGAAUUCCUGGUGUAGCGGUGGAAUGCGCAGAUAUCAGGAGGAACACCUAUUGCGAAGGCAGCUCGCUGGGACGUAACUGACGCUGAGACGCGAAAGCGUGGGGAGCAAACAGG